UACCAGCACCCCGAGUGUUCGGGACGAUUAUUGGGCCUAAAGCAUCCGUAGCCGGUUCUACAAGUCUUCCGUUAAAUCCACCUGCUUAACAGAUGGGCUGCGGAGGAUACUAUAGAGCUAGGAGGCGGGAGAGGCAAGCGGUACUCAGUGGGUAGGGGUAAAAUCCGUUGAUCCAUUGAAGACCACCAGUGGCGAAGGCGGCUUGCCAGAAUGCGCUCGACGGUGAGGGAUGAAAGCUGGGGGAGCAAACCGG
This 253-nucleotide ribosomal RNA is filed under the name uncultured bacterium. Its description in RNAcentral is "partial 16S ribosomal RNA". It matches the Rfam family "Archaeal small subunit ribosomal RNA", at positions 474 to 727 of the family's 1478-position model. The record is from RNAcentral.